UUGCUUCUGCAGCACAUAUAUGAAAAUUGAAACAUACAGAGAGAUUAGCAUGGCCCUUGCACAAGAUGACAUGCAAAUUCGUAAGUGUCCAAAUUUAA
This 98-nucleotide small nuclear RNA is filed under the name Erinaceus europaeus (western European hedgehog). Lineage: Eukaryota; Metazoa; Chordata; Mammalia; Eulipotyphla; Erinaceidae. The record is from RNAcentral.